AUUGAACGCUGGCGGCAUGCUUUACACAUGCAAGUCGAACGGUAACAGGCCUUCGGGUGCUGCCGAGUGGCGAACGGGUGCGUAAUGCAUCGGAACGUACCCAGAGGUGGGGGAUAACGCAGCGAAAGCUGUGCUAAUACCGCAUGUGAUCUGAGGAUGAAGGCGGGGGACCGAGCAGCAAUGUUUGGCCUCGCGCCUUUGGAGCGGCCGAUGUCGGAUUAGCUAGUUGGUGGGGUAAAGGCCUACCAAGGCGACGAUCCGUAGCUGGUCUGAGAGGACGACCAGCCACACUGGGACUGAGACACGGCCCAGACUCCUACGGGAGGCAGCAGUGGGGAAUUUUGGACAAAGGGCGCAAGCCUGAUCCAGCAAUGCCGCGUGCGGGAAGAAGGCCUUCGGGUUGUAAACCGCUUUUGGCAGGAACGAAACGGUGUCCGCUAAUACCGGGCGCUAAUGACGGUACCUGCAGAAUAAGCACCGGCUAACUACGUG
RNAcentral lists this ribosomal RNA (492 nucleotides) under uncultured bacterium. RNAcentral's name for it is "partial 16S ribosomal RNA". It matches the Rfam family "Bacterial small subunit ribosomal RNA", at positions 29 to 507 of the family's 1533-position model. The record is from RNAcentral.